AGAACGAACGCUGGCGGCAGGCCUCAAACAUGCAAGUCUAGGGGGUGCAGCAAUGCAUCACCGGCGGACGGGUGCGUAACACGUGGGAAUAUACCUUUUGGUUCGGAACAACCCAGGGAAACUUGGGCUAAUACCGAAUAAGCCCUUACGGGGAAAGAUUUAUCGCCGAAGGAUCGGCCCGCGUCUGAUUAGCUAGUUGGUGGGGUAACGGCCCACCAAGGCGACGAUCAGUAGCUGGUCUGAGAGGAUGAUCAGCCUCAUUGGGACUGAGACACGGCCCAAACUCCUACGGGAGGCAGCAGUGGGGAAUAUUGGACAAUGGGCGCAAGCCUGAUCCAGCCAUGCCGCGUGGGUGAUGAAGGCCCUAGGGUUGUAAAGCCCUUUCGGCGGGGAAGAGUAAUGACGGUACCCGCAGAAGAGCCCGGCUAACUUCGUGCCAGCAGCCGC
RNAcentral lists this ribosomal RNA (447 nucleotides) under uncultured bacterium. RNAcentral describes it as "SSU rRNA". It matches the Rfam family "Bacterial small subunit ribosomal RNA", at positions 26 to 518 of the family's 1533-position model. The record is from RNAcentral.